ACAGAAAAUGCAAAUAGUCUGAGCCAGAAAUAAUUGACAGAAGGCUAGUGUGGCUGCUGAACAGAGAGAGAGCAAGCAGGAAGGAAGAUCAGGGUGGAGUAAAAGACAAGACCGUGCAAAGCUUUAUCAGCUACAUCAGAUAAUUUAGAUUUUAUCCUAAUGUAGUGAGAAGGUUUUGAAGGAUCUUAAAUAGUGAUACAACAGGCUCCUUCGGGCUGCAAUGUGUAAAAUUGAAGGUGCCUGCUUCCCCUUCAUCUUCUGCCAUGAUUGUAAGUUUCCUGAGGCCUCCCCAGACAUGCGGAACUUUUUACAAACUGAAGUCAAGGAGUACCUUCAAUCAAGUCUCCCACAGGGAAAGAAAAAAAGCCAACAGAAUUACCAAAGCCCUUUCUUCUCUUUUCUUUUCCAGCUCUCACUCUGGGGGAAACAAGCUACCAUGUUGUGAAAAGCCCUAUGGGGAGGCCCACGCGAUGAGGAACUGAAGCUUUCAGCCACCAGCCAGGGAGGAAUGGAGCCCUGUCAGCAACCACAGGAAUGAACUUGGAAGCAGAUUCACCAGCAACAGUCUAGCUCUGGUCAACAGCUCUAGCAGCCUCAAGAGAGACCUGGUGGCAGAAUCAUGCAGAAAUGCUGUUUUUUGAUUCCUCAGAAACUGUGGGAGAAAAUAAGAGUUUGUUUUUUAAAACUGCAAAUGUGGAGAUGGUUUGUUACACAGCAGUGGAGUGCUGCUAUGUGAGCUGAAGUUGCUCCAGUCACAUUUCUUUCACUCUGCUUUCCAGCCUCUUUUCUCAC
Molecule: long non-coding RNA, 792 nt
Filed under: Papio anubis (olive baboon)
Lineage: Eukaryota; Metazoa; Chordata; Mammalia; Primates; Cercopithecidae
Description: lncRNA (ENSPANG00000050158.1)
Source: RNAcentral